Molecule: ribosomal RNA, 253 nt
Filed under: uncultured bacterium
Lineage: Bacteria
Description: partial 16S ribosomal RNA
Rfam family: Bacterial small subunit ribosomal RNA
Source: RNAcentral
UACAGAGGUCCCAAGCGUUGUUCGGAUUCACUGGGCGUAAAGGGUGCGUAGGCGGUCGGGUAAGUCUGAUGUGAAAUCUCACAGCUUAACUGUGAAACUGCAUUGGAUACUAUCCGGCUCGAGGAAUGGAGGGGAGACUGGAAUACUUGGUGUAGCAGUGAAAUGCGUAGAUAUCGUGAGGAAGACCAGUGGCGAAGGCGGGUCUCUGGACAGUUCCUGACGCUGAGGCGCGAAGGCCAGGGGAGCAAACGGG